RNA transcript from Juglans regia (Persian walnut), 1505 nucleotides. It is a transcript of the gene named coiled-coil domain-containing protein 93, with no coding region annotated. The record is from RefSeq and is a predicted model, not a curated record. The transcript is spliced from 11 exons. Lineage: Eukaryota; Viridiplantae; Streptophyta; Magnoliopsida; Fagales; Juglandaceae.
GAUAAGGACUCGAAACUCCCUCUCACGAGCAGUCGAACCGACAUGGCCGAGUCUUACUUCCUGUCCGAGUCCGGAUCACCGAUUUCUCUUGGGCGUAUUUAUGAUCUUCUCGUCUCAGUCGGUUAUGCCGACGCCGUAAAAACCGAUAUAUCUGCCUCCGAAAAGCUCCGUUCUGGCAUCGUCUGGUGCAUCGCUGCCGUUAACGACGAAACCCUAACACACCUGGAGGAAAUUGAGAUUGAAAAUCGCAUUGGGGAAGCUCUGAGGUUAAUCGGUUGUCCACACCCUCUUGAAGCUUCUCAAAUUGAAACUCUAGACUUCAAAGCCAUUUUUCCCGUUGUACAGUGGCUUGUUAAUCGUGUUAGGACCUUACAAGAUGAUGACAGGGAUCAUGAGAAUCAAAAAGAGCUCGGGCUCGAUAUUAUGAACAAAAUUAAACUUCUACGAGAGAGAAUAGAUAAGGAGGGUGCUACUAUUGCUGUACAGAAAUUGAUACCACUUUUGGGGUCGUUAAAGAAUCUGGAAUUGCAAGAAUCUGAAUUCCAGUCCAAUUGUAAUGUAAAACGCUCUGAACUGCAAGCUGAUAUUAUUGAAUUGGAGGGAAGAAUAGCAAGUGACUGGGAUGGCAAGAUUCCCUCUGAUUGUCUCAGUCAUUCUUUGGUUGAAUCUUUGGAGGAACUGCAUUCAGCAAAAAAGGAACUUGCAGCUAGAUGUAGGGCAAUUAUUGCUGUGAAGCGGCAGCUUGAUGACGUGCCAUCCCAAUCAGAACUCAUCCAGUAUGAACGCCGAUUUUCGGAACUGUAUGUUCAUAUCCAGAAAAAGCAUCGCCAAACUCGUCAAUAUUAUGGUACCUAUAAUGCUCUUUUGGAGAUAAAAGAACUGAUGCUAAAGGAAACAUCCUUAUUGAAUUCAAUAAGUGCCCAGUUCCAAGAAGCCAUUACUAAUGCUGCUGGUCGCAUGAAACUUAUUGAUUCCAUGGAGGGAAUUGUGAAGAGCAGUCAACAGAAACAAGAAAAGGUCCAACUUGGGUUUCAAGAAGAGCAGAAGGUUUGUGAUGCUCUCAAACAGCGAAAUGCUGCUGCUUCUGCAGAGCAAAGACGCUGUUACACUCUGUUAAAAGCUUUCCAGGAGGAAUGCUCAAAGAAUGAAAAACUGCGCUGCCAAAGUUGUACAUAGUGCUUACCUGUUGUGUCAAGGAAGAGGAGGUGAUUAGUAUUGCAGGUCAAAUUUCUAUAGCACUGAAGCGAAGCGAAGAUGAAUGAGAUGAGUUCAGAGUUGAAUUUGAAUUGUGAGUUGUGAUAGUGGAGUAAGUUUUGUGGAAUUUAUUUAAGAUGAAUUUAGAUGUGUUUGGAUAUUAAGAUGAGUUUAUAUGUAUUUAUGAGAAGUUGAAAAAGAUUACGAGUUUUGUGUGUAAAGAGGUGUUGAGUUAAAAAUAUUAUAGAUCUUAGGUGUAAAAAGAUCUUGAGUUAAGUGAUAUUUAAUGAUUUAAAAGUUAUGUAUUUAAA